GUGGCAGAAGGCUUGCAGUGUUUCAUAGGUGAACUCUAGAGCAAAAAAAAAGAGGAAUUAUCUUUUCAUCUUGUAUCUAUCAAUUUUGGGGAUUCAUUGACAAGAUGGGGAAAAGACGGAUCAUAUCCUUUUUCCUGAUUCUAAUAGUUACUAUGGUUGCAACUACAACUGUUGCUCCUACAACAACAACUCCUGCCCCGACAACAACAACUGCUGCACCAACAACAACAACUACAGCAGCAACUACAACAACUGCUGCUCCAAAAACAACUGAAGCAGCAACUACA
Long non-coding RNA from Scophthalmus maximus (turbot), 287 nucleotides. RefSeq lists it as uncharacterized. The record is from RefSeq and is a predicted model, not a curated record. The transcript is spliced from 3 exons. NCBI's taxonomy places the organism in Eukaryota, Metazoa, Chordata, Actinopteri, Pleuronectiformes, Scophthalmidae.